GGAAAAGAAGGAGGAGAUGGAGGAGGAAGAGGAGGAGGAGGAAAAAGAGGAGAGGGAGGAGAUGCAAGAGGAAAAGAAGGAGGAGGAGGAAAAGGAGGAGGGGGAGGAGAUGGAGGAGAAGGAAAAGGAGGAGGGGGAGAAGAUGGAGGAGGAAGCGAAUGCAGAGGGAUGGAGAUGGAGGAGAGGAGGAGGUUGUUGUAAUCAUGGAAAGGCAGGGAGUUGUCUGUGAGGACUCACUUUGACUCCAUUCUGUCCUUCUUCUUCUUCUUAUACUAACCCCCUUGAUCUUCCUUUCCCUAGAAGAGGGGCAUGCCAAGCGUCUUCCUUUUGCAUGCACACACACACACACACACACACACACACACACACAGAGCAUGUUACCAACAGCUUUUUAUUUAACUUUCUCCCUGCCCAGAGCUUCUCUUCACUGACUGUCUGGGACAAGCCAGCGCCGUGGAGCUGUCUCUUUUUCAUUUCUCAGCCUCACUGGCCAUUCCAGUCCUCAAGAAAUAUUUGCUUGAUGUGACUUCUUGGAACCAAAUGUUGGUACCCAACUGAAAGGGAUGGAGCCCUCCGAACUUGGAAGUUCCGCUGAGGAUGAGGGCGGCCGCCAUUUUGAAACGAACAGACUCCAAAAGCACGCUCCACUGGGCCUGCCCCUGCGAUCUUAAAACAGAUGUCCGUGAAAUGUGACCCAUGAAUAGCAGUUAUCUGGAGAGAGAGCUCUGAAGCUGAUGAAACCAUUAGAGCCACUGAAGGCACCUGGUAAAUGCGAUGCGGGGAGUACAGAAGAGAGAAUCAGAAACACACCGGCACUCUCAUUCCCAUGAGGCCACUUACAGUGGGUAAAACGUCGCUUGAGAAGAGCGGCAGCUCCAGCCUGAAUGAGAAGCACGUCCUCCUGGGAGUUACGUCAGCAGCCUGACCUUCCAUCUUCCUCCUCUAAAGAAGCGUCCCUGCCACCCUGAGCACGAAGCCCUCGGGUUCCUAAAGGCCGAGGCGCUUCUUCUCAUUUACUUCCCUUGAGGAAGAAAGACCAGCCCAUCCACCCUCAUUUCCCACCGAAGGGCAUCGCAAAUAAAGUUUGCCCACGCAACCAGGCCACCACCAUUAAUUUCUCUCUGCCCUGCUCUUACAUUCUCCUCAAGGUUUUCAGUCCCCUAGAGAGGCUCCCUUCCCUCUUUUCUUUCCUUCCUCCAGCCCCCCUUUUCACCUCCCUCCACCAUUGUUUGAGGUUAAGAAGCAUGCUACGGUGUUCUAUAAAUCACUUGGCAAGAGUAGACGACAAAAGCAAAAUAUAAUUCAGAUUAAAGUCAUCCUCCCGCUGAAAUGAUAGUUUCUUAAAUAAAUGGCGAUGCUGCCUAUCAAUCUUGCUGGCAACUGGUCCUCUCAUAUUCAUCUUUCUGGGGGUGAUUUAGGAUCCACCUGGGUCCUCCGAGAAGAUUCUCCCAUCAUUUCCUUCCCGUCUCUCUGGAUCUUGCUGCUGGGCUUGGCGCAGUUGACAAAUUCUCCAAGUAAUCCCUCAAAAGAUUGGAGAAAUGCUCCGAACGCUCCAUUAAACUUAUUUUCCAUGCUUUAAGAGACCCAAAACUAUGUCCAAUAAAUAAGUGUUCCCUGUGAUUUACUGAAAUGCUCCUCUGAUUUAAAGUUAUAGAGGGAAAAAUAUGGCGCCCCUGGGAGGGAAGGACCAGCCUCACAAGUGAGACCAGAUGUGAGAUUUCUGCCCGGGGAGGGGAGAAGAGGGGGAAAAAACAACCCAAGUGGUGGAGGUUUGAAAGUGACAAUGUCUGAACCCAGGCUCUCGGCUUUAACAUAAAAGGUCCCCAGUUGAACAUUCUUUCUCACAAAAUUUAUUGUGGUUGUAGUUAGAGGGGGAACCAUCAAAAGAGUAAUUCUGGCCCUUGUUUUGCAGAGCUCUUUUGAUAAAUAUGAUACUUAGAAAUAUGCCUCCCACUAGACAGAAAAGCCAUAUAGUUAAAAUGAAGUAAUCUGUCAGUAAACUCGCUAGAAUCAAAGCCAAAAUGAAACCUGUAAAAGGAGAAGGGGGAAAAAAUCUCCACUUAGAAACGUUUGAGUCAAGCAGGGGAGAAGGUAGAGAUUAAGAAUUGUCCUUUAUUCAGAUAUUUUUAUCUACGGAGUUAAAAGCGGAGAUUUAUUUUUAAAAGGGGCUAUUUAUGUUCCAAUCUCCAACAGAUGGGUCUGUGUUCCUGCCUCGCUCAUGCAGCUCAGGCUCAGCAAAAAAACAGCUUCUCUUCUGAGCUGAAACUUACCCAAAAGAAGGAGGAAUAAAAACUUUGGGAAACAAAUGUAACCUUUGGAGCUGCUUGGUAAAUAUUGGAACUGUUUACUAUGGAGGCCCAGAUGUGUCAAAACCAAGAAACAAACAGGAACCAGCAAAAACAGAUGUGAAGACUAGACAUGUAUACAUAUUAACCAUGUAUUACAUAUGCAUAUGUGUGCACACGUGUCACUCAUGUACUGAUUCCCAGAGGGCUGGAUAACUUCGGCCAAGAAAAUUCCCACUGGGGAAGAGACAUCAUCCAUAGGUUAUCCCAAAUAGUUCUAUCUUAGGAGUCCACUUCUCUGAGUCUCUCUUCACGUGAUCAAUCACUUGUUUAGAAAAUAUUUCUCAUGGUCAAUAACAGAAAAUUUUUACAUUAGCUCCACUAGUGAAAUUACCCUCAAAGCAUUUCUUGCACCAAAAGAAACCAGACUCCAUGGCUGCAUCAGCGACUGGGCUAGCCACUCUGGAAACAGGUUCCCAAGCCUUCAAGAGCUGCCAAGCCAUCCCAGAAUAAAGCGCCCCUCCUCACCGAGCAGCAGGCUCUGGUCUGUGCAGCUUCCACAAGGCCUGAUCCCAGGAAAAGCCUUCCUGCUUCCCAGGGACUUCCCCAUUCCUGUCCCCAAAACAACGCCUGAGGCUGUCAGCCUAGAGAAGGGGAAGUCCCCACCACCCCGUCCCAGGAUGCGAGGCAGGAAGACAUUUACCCCACCUGCGGGACAAAAAGAUUAAGGCCCACGGUGUGUAUACAGCCUCGGGCCAAUUACAGUUUUCAAAUUCUCCCACUCCCUCCACUGGCAUUUGUCCUAGAGUGAAAUGUGCCUAAAAUGAAGAGGAGAAAGACAGAGGAUAACAGAAGGGUGUCAGGGAAGGAGUCUUAAAUAUCAGAUGACCCCAAAUCUGACCCUGGUUCUGCAAUAAAGUGUCUAUGUGACCUGAGACCAGUGGCUUCACCAACCGGAACCCCAGUUUCUUCCAUCUGUGGUGAAGCGUUGAACCAAAUGACCUCCUGCUUCUCAGACUCCCAGAGAUGGUCCCUUUCUCAGGCCCCAGGGCCUCCCUCCCUCCAAGGCACCCCUGCAGGUCUGGACAGAGUUGGAGGGUGUGGGGUUGGAACGGCACCUGUGUUUACAAUGGUACAAUCUGCAGUUUACUGUAAUAAAAUCAUUUAAUACAUUCAUAAUUUUUUUGGCAAGGGGUUGUGUUUAUGGUGAGCAAGACAGAGAGGGAAUGAUUGACUAGGACUGAUUAAAACGAUAAAUCAAAAACGAAGGCGGGAGGACAUGAAGAGCGCAAAGCCACAGGCAAAUCCAAUUUAAGUCUCAGGCUCGGUGUCUUUGUGGGAACAGCUUGGCCUGAGGAUGAGCCAGCCCUGGGGGUGGGGGCCCCGGGCCAGGGUGGGAGUGAUGGGGCACAGAAUCUGGCAGCUCAACCCAACAGGGUUUAUCUUCACCGGGCUGAGAAAUAAGGAAAUGGUUUUACAAGAACUCAUUUCCUUGGGCCUCUGUCUUCAAAAGGAUUUAGGAGGGCUGGAGAAUAAAGGAGAGUGUGUGUGUGUGUCACAUACGUGUGCAUCCAGGUAGAAUAAUUUGAGCAAGACCUAGAGGGACUUUCCAGAAUCAAAAUUAUCUUUAAAGAAAAAAACGAUCCUUCAAGUAAAGUAUCUGAAACUCCACUGCUAGCAAGGAUUAGCAAACACUUCUGACCUUGCAAAUGCUGUCCUUCAAUAACUGAGUGCCUACUGCAUGCCAGGCACUGUGCUGGGGCAGAAACAGAUUGUUCACUUAACGAAUAAUGAGCAAGUCCAAGCACUGUCCUAGGCCCCAGGGAUAGAAGAGUGAAAAAAGAAUCCCCGACCCCAUGGAACUGCUCUUGUGGGCAUUUACCUCCUUGUGAAUUAAGCACUAUGUUUGCCCCUGGAAAAACAGGCUUCCAGUCAACAGUUGUUUAUACAACAGUGUGAUAAAUGCUAUAACUCAAAGGUGUACAAAGGGUCAUUAAUACUGAGGGGUUGAAUUCUGAUCCAGUCUUUAUUAUUAUUAUUAUUCCACCCUUCUCACUCCCCGACCUCACUGUUCCAUCACUCCCCACCCUGCUUCCAUAUGGACCCAUUGUUUAACUCCCACAUAUAAGUGAAAACAUGAGGUAUUUGUCUUUCUGUGUCUGAGUUGUUUUAUGUAGUGUUCUCCAAUCCCACCCAUUUUGCUGCAAAAGACCUGAAUUCAUUCUUUUUUAUAGCUGAAUACUAUUCCAUUGUGUAUAUAUGCCACAUUUCCUUUAUCUAGUCAUCCAUCGAUGGACACUCAGGUUGAUUCCACAGGCUGAUUUGCUAUCAUGAUUUGCUAUCAUGAAUAUUGCUGCGAUAAACAUACGCAUGCAGGUAUCUUUUUGAUAUACUGAUUUCUUUUCCUUUAGAUAGAAACCCAGUAGUAGGAUUGCUGAGUUGAACGGUGGUUCUAUCUUUAGUUCUUUAAGAAAUCUCCGUAAUGUUUUUCAUCCAGGUUGUACUAAUUUACAUUCCCACCAACAGUGUAUAAAGUUUCCCUUUUCUCCACAUCCUCUCCAACACCUGUUUAGGGUUUUUUUUAUUUUGUUUUGUUUUGUUUUGUUUUUAACUUUUUAAUAAUCUGAGCUGGGGCUGGGCAUGGUAAUCCCAGUAAUCCCAGCACUUUGGGAGGCCAAGGCAGGAGGAUACUUUGAGGUCAGGAGUUUGAGACCAGCCUGAGCAACAUAGUGAGACCCCAUCUCUACAAAAACUAAAACAUUAGCUGGGUGUGGUGGCAUGCACCUGUGUGGUCCCAGCUACUUGGGAGGUUGAGGCGGGAAGAUCGCUUGAGUCCAGGAAUUUGAGGCUACAGUGAGCUAUGAUCACACUACUGCACCCCAGCCUGGGCAACAGAGCAAGACUCUGUCUCAAAAUAAUAAUCGUAAUAAUAAUAAUGUGAGCUGGAUCUUAAAGGGUAAGAAGAAUCGCCCUUUCACAGCCAGAAAAGAACAGUGCUCCAGACAGAGGUCACUGCAUUAGUGAAGGCAUGGAGCUUUGGAAGGGCUUCUAUUGGGAAGGGAGAGAAACCAAAUGCCUAGGAAGGGCUAGGUAUUACGUUGCUUGUCUGGUUACCAGCUAAUUCCUUGGUUAGUUAUUUAACAGCUCUCUGAGAGCACGUCUUCAAAAAAAAAAAGAGGUCAGGAGCCUGGGAAUUGGAAGGCUGCGGGGAGAUGGGUUGGAUAGAGAAGUCAAGACAAACUUCAGUUACUUCACAGCUUUGCAUAGGAUGGUGUGGUAGAAAAAACUACUGACCACCAAAGAUUCAUGCUCCCCCAACACCAUGUUGAGUUGCUUCUGGGGAGCAGAUGCCCAGUCUACAAUUUUCACCACCCACACCCACAACCCAGCCCAUGCAGCUAGUGCGAUCCACACGACUGGGUCUCACCAAUGGAACAUGGGCGUAAGGGUCAUGCAUCAUGUCCAGGCCAACAUGGUGUUAGUCUCCAGUGUGCUGUCUCCCCGUCCACAGAGACCGCGAAAGUAUCCAAUGUACUCCCUGGAUAGAGACCUCUCCAUGAGACUUCAGAAGCCAGGUGUUAAAGAUGGUGUCAUCACAAAAUGGCAGCAAGGAGCUGUUCAGGGAGCCACCUUGUGAUCCCUGAGGUAGGAGUAUAACCUCAUGGUGAGGCAGCACCUUCAGCAGAGGGCAAGUUCU
Molecule: long non-coding RNA, 5982 nt
Filed under: Homo sapiens (human)
Lineage: Eukaryota; Metazoa; Chordata; Mammalia; Primates; Hominidae
Description: HSALNT0135504
Source: RNAcentral